Molecule: long non-coding RNA, 426 nt
Filed under: Gallus gallus (chicken)
Lineage: Eukaryota; Metazoa; Chordata; Aves; Galliformes; Phasianidae
Source: RNAcentral
GGGAAACAUCCUUCCAAUGACACCACUAUCAGUGAGUGACAUCAGCCACCAUUCUUUUGAGAGCAGCUUUCCUUUAAACAUCUAAUACUAGAAAAUUAUGGCACAUCAGAUUUUUGUGCUUGUUAAUUAUAAGUUUUUACCUUCUUGUGUUAAAGUGCAGCUGGCAGAGAUAUCAUCAUCUACAUCCGUGACCUCCACUGAAUAUAUUCCCAGAUCCUUUUCUGAUGGAUCUUUCAGUAUAAGCUUAGAUUUAUUGCCUUUUUCUUCUGUCCAAACUCUGUCAGCAUCUGGUGGUCCUUCAUAGUCCUUUGACCAGAUAAAUUCAGAGGAGUCAUUCUUUUCAGGAGCUUCAAAAGCCAUAUAAAUGAACCCUUCUUCAUCUACCCCGAGUUCAAUUUCAUUUGUGCCUGAAUGACAAAAUGUAAG